This 389-nucleotide unclassified non-coding RNA is filed under the name uncultured bacterium. Its description in RNAcentral is "contains 16S-23S intergenic spacer region". The record is from RNAcentral.
AGGGAUACGGCGUGUGGAUCUGGAGAGCGACGGCCGGUUGGACACUGCUGCACAACCUGGACGCGACCGACAUCCUGACGGCUGAUCUCGAUGGCAACGGUCAGGAGGAUCUCAUUCUGAAUUUCCCCGGCGCGGGGAUCUGGGUGCGAUACAACAACGCCACGUGGUAUCAGUUGCACACUCUGAACUCCACGGCUCUCGGCGCCGGCAACAUCGACGGCGACGGCGACCGCAAGUCAGACUUGAUCGUCAACUUCGCCGGACACGGGGUCUGGGUCUACGCGAACAACGCCCUCUGGGUCCAGCUCCACGUCAGCGAUGCCUUCGAUAUUCAGACGGGCGACUUUGACAGCAACGGUCAAGCCGACAUCGUGAUGAAUUUCGCGGGU